ACACGUAGGACGCAAGCGUUGUCCGGAUUUAUUGGGCGUAAAGGGCUCGUAGGCGGUUUCGUAAGUCGGGUGUGAAAACUCAGGGCUCAACCCUGAGACGCCACUCGAUACUGCGAUGACUUGAGUCCGGUAGGGGAGCAGGGAAUUCCUGGUGUAGCGGUGAAAUGCGCAGAUAUCAGGAGGAACACCAUUAGCGAAGGCGCUGCUCUGGGCCGGUACUGACGCUGAGGAGCGAAAGCAUGGGGAGCAAACAGGAUUAGAAACCCUAGUAGUCC
Molecule: ribosomal RNA, 275 nt
Filed under: uncultured bacterium
Lineage: Bacteria
Description: partial 16S ribosomal RNA
Rfam family: Bacterial small subunit ribosomal RNA
Source: RNAcentral